GACGAACGCUGGCGGCGUGCCUAAUACAUGCAAGUAGAACGCACAGUUUAUACCGUAGCUUGCUACACCAUAGACUGUGAGUUGCGAACGGGUGAGUAACGCGUAGGUAACCUGCCUGGUAGCGGGGGAUAACUAUUGGAAACGAUAGCUAAUACCGCAUAAUAUUGAUUAUUGCAUGAUAAUUAAUUGAAAGGUGCAAUUGCACCACUACCAGAUGGACCUGCGUUGUAUUAGCUAGUAGGUGAGGUAACGGCUCACCUAGGCGACGAUACAUAGCCGACCUGAGAGGGUGAUCGGCCACACUGGGACUGAGACACGGCCCAGACUCCUACGGGAGGCAGCAGUAGGGAAUCUUCGGCAAUGGACGAAAGUCUGACCGAGCAACGCCGCGUGAGUGAAGAAGGUUUUCGGAUCGUAAAGCUCUGUUGUAAGAGAAGAACGGGGGUGAGAGUGGAAAGUUCACACUGUGACGGUAUCUUACCAGAAAGGGACGGCUAACUACGUG
This 505-nucleotide ribosomal RNA is filed under the name uncultured bacterium. RNAcentral describes it as "partial 16S ribosomal RNA". It matches the Rfam family "Bacterial small subunit ribosomal RNA", at positions 28 to 507 of the family's 1533-position model. The record is from RNAcentral.